Molecule: unclassified non-coding RNA, 2272 nt
Filed under: Hevea brasiliensis (rubber tree)
Lineage: Eukaryota; Viridiplantae; Streptophyta; Magnoliopsida; Malpighiales; Euphorbiaceae
Source: RNAcentral
AUCCUAUCCAAAAUCCACUUGUCCCAUAAGGCGACGCCAUUUCUCUGGCUAGAUUUUGCUUUUCAAUCUCAUGGAUGACAUCCACAUUCUCUUCAAGCAGUCCUCAAGAUUCAAAGAUACUGUUAUUCUCAAACACCAUUUCCAAUUAUUCCCAUUUGAUCAAAAUUAUUUUAACCCUGCAUUGCAAAAACUGUAGCAUUCUUGAUAUCUUUAUCAUGAUGUUGAUGGCGGGAUGAUUGGGACAACAGUCCUUCACCAAACCCAUUUUCUGUUACCACAGGAAAGCCCAGAUGUUAAUCUGAGGUUGAAGGAGCAAGAAUGCUUAACCCUUUUGAGGAGAUGCAUGCACAUGGAAGAAUUCAGGCAAGCUCAUGCCCAAAUCCUCAAGUGGGGAUUCUUUUCCAACUCUUUCUGUGCAAGCAAUCUACUGGCUACUUGUGCUCUCCCAGAUUGGGGCAGCAUGGACUAUGCAUCUUCAAUUUUUCAACAAAUUGAGGAACCAGGUACUUUUGAAUUCAAUACCAUGAUUAAAGGAUAUGCUAAGGAUUUUAAUAUGGAGAAUUCUUUGUUUGUUUAUUGUGAGAUGCUUGAGAAGGGAGUUCACUCAGAUAAUUUUACCUUUCCCUCUCUUCUCAAGGCAUGUGCCUGGUUGAAGGCAAUAAAGGAAGGUAUGCAAAUUCAUGGGCAUAUUUUUAAGAUUGGACUUGAGAGCGAUUUGUAUGUCCAGAAUAGCUUGAUUAACAUGUAUGGAAAGUGUGGGAAGAUACAACUUUCGUCUGCUGUUUUUGAGCAAGUGGAUCUAAAGGAUGUUGCUUCUUGGAGUGCUAUUAUUGCAGUUCACACUAGUUUUGGCAUGUGGUGUGAGUCCUUAAAGCUUUUUAAGGAGAUGGGUCAUGACAGAUCUUGUAGGCCAGAAGAGAGCUUAUAUGUGAGUAUGCUAUCUGCUUGUAGUCAUUUGGGUGCCCUUGAUUUUGGGAGGUGCUUGCAUGGAAUAUUGCUAAGGAACAUUAGUGAACUCAAUUUAACAGUGCAAACUUCUUUGACUGACAUGUAUAUCAACUGUGGAUGUAUAGAAAAAGGGUUGUGCCUCUUCCAAAGAAUGAUAAAAAAGAACAAAUUUUCCUAUAGUGUGAUGAUUUCAGGACUAGCAAUGCACGGGUGCAGUAAGGAGGCUCUAGAGUUUUUCUCUGAAAUGCUUGAGGAAGGAUUGGAGCCCGAUGAUGUUAUCUAUGUGGGUGUGUUGAGUGCUUGUAGUCGUGCUGGCCUUGUUGAGGAAGGUCUGCAGUGUUUCAAUAGAAUGAAGUUUGAGCAUGGAAUAGAACCAACAAUUCAGCAUUAUUGCUGCAUUGUAGAUCUUAUGGGCAGAGCUGGAAUGCUCAAUGAGGCCUUAGAAUUUAUCAGAACCAUGCCUAUCGAUCCAAAUGAUAUCGUGUGGAGAAGCCUUCUUAGUGCUUGCAAAGCUCAUCAUAACUUAAAAAUUGGUGAGAUUGCAACUAAGAGCUUAGUACCAUUGAUUUUGCAUAAUCCGAGUGACUUGCUGAUUUUAUCUCAUAUGUAUGCAAGAGCUAAAAAAUGGGAAGAUUCAGCUAUGGUUCGAACAGAAUUGGCUUGCCAGCACUUACAUCAAACACCUGGAUUUAGUUUAGUUGAGGUGAAGAGGAAAAUUUAUAGGUUUGUUUCACAGGACAUGUCACACCCUGAAAGCGAAGACAUUUACGAGAUGAUUCAUCAGAUGGAAUGGCAGUUGAAGUUUGAAGGCUAUUCUCCAGAUACAUCACAAAUAUUGCUAGAUGUUGAUGAAGAAGAGAAGAGGCAGAGAUUGAAAGCUCAUAGUCAAAAGUUAGCUAUUGCUUUUGCAUUGAUACAUGCAUCUCAGGGGAUUCCCAUUAGAAUUACUAGGAACCUGAGGAUGUGUAAUGACUGCCACACAUACACCAAGUCAAUUUCCAAGAUUUAUACAAGGGAAAUUAUUGUAAGAGAUAGGAAUUAUUUCCACCAUUUCAAAGAUGGAGCAUGCUCUUGCAGAGACUAUUGGUAAACUGAUAAGUCUUCUUAUUUGAAGGGGGAAAUUUCAAUUGAAUAUGCCCUCAAAUAGCUGCUGAUAAUUGAGAUGGACUGGCCUUGUGACCUGCAACUUUUGAUGUUUUCUUCAACCUAACCUUUUGCUCAACUAAUAAUGAUUAAUUAGUUAUUCAUUUAAUUAAUGAGUACUUACACAACAUUUAGACUUUUCUGUGCUGCAUAUGCAUUGUCUAACUUAAAAUAAUAAUAA